Small nucleolar RNA from Nannospalax galili (Upper Galilee mountains blind mole rat), 137 nucleotides. Lineage: Eukaryota; Metazoa; Chordata; Mammalia; Rodentia; Spalacidae. The record is from Ensembl.
AGGCACUGCCUUCAAACCUCUGUGUGUAUGACCUGUGGCCUCAGGGUCUCGGAACAGUGCCAGAGCAGAGCUUGCUUGUUCACAUUUGGGGCUGCUUGGUGCCACCUUAGCGAUUCCUUUAGCAGCAAGCAACAUUU